CCGAGUUAGGGUCUUAUAGGCCCGACCUCCAACCCUUUGCUUACUCUACCGUGUUGCUUUGGCAGGCCCGCCUUUCGGGGCCACUGGGGGCUUUCAUACCCUUGGUCAGUGCCUGCCAUUAGCCUUAUUAAAUUCUUUUAUAAUUAUGUUGUCUGAGUAUAAAUUUAAAUCGUUA
This 175-nucleotide unclassified non-coding RNA is filed under the name uncultured Herpotrichiellaceae. RNAcentral's name for it is "sequence contains ITS1". The record is from RNAcentral. Lineage: Eukaryota; Fungi; Ascomycota; Eurotiomycetes; Chaetothyriales; Herpotrichiellaceae.